UAGGUCUGAAGCCUGCUUGAGAAUUAGUGGAGUGCAUUUGGCUUCCUGGUUCAUACUUUCCCCAAUGUCUGAAGUGGAGUUCAAAUUGUUUCAGGGGCUCAUGGUGUGCUCAGGCACAUCUCCUCUGAAUCAGGACCAAAUGCACUCCACCAGUUCUCAAGCAGGCUUCACAGCUACCACUGCAGAACCACAGGUCUUCCAAACUGCUGUCUGGACCAAGGGGACUUCUGAUCUGUCCUUCAGAACCAGGGGAGCUCAGACCCUCCCCAAUGGCCCAGGUAGCCCCAGUCUUAUCUGUCUAGAAACAAGGUAACUCACAACUUUCCCCAGUAACUCAGGGGAUUUUGGGUUUACCUCGUCAACAUCAAAAGCUUCAGCCAUUCCCCAGUGUUCAGGGGACAUUGACACAUCUUUCCUUUGAGAAGCAGAGGACAUCAGACAUUUACUAAUUGACAAGAGACAUUGACACACCUUUCCUUUGAGAACCAGAGGACCUCAGACAAUCAUUAAUUGACAAAUGGGCCUCAUACUUACCACUUCAGAACAAGGGUGUCAAACACAUUCUCAAUGACUGAAGGGGACCUUAGAUAUAUAACUUGAGAAGCAAGUGGCCACAGACCUCUUUAGUGUCCCAAGAAGGACACAAAUACAACCCCUAUAAAAUCAAUGUGCCAUAGAAUUUAUGCAAAGUCACAAUGGGGCUUCAGAAUUAUCCUUCCAGAACCAGGAGGAUUCAUACCUCCAGAUAAUAACUCCAUCGAGUAUUAGAUAUGCCCCCGGAGAAGAAACUAUCUCACUAAUUCAGGAGACUUACUUCUCACUGGAACAUCUUCUGAAGAGGGCCAUAGACUUAUUUCCUCCAACCAUAGAAGUCCCUGACUUUCAAGAUAUGCAAAAGCAGGGCUGCUGUAACACACCCUCUUUGAACAAGAAAACUUUAGACUUUGUCUGUCUGUACUGGAGGGGUCUGAGACAUGCCCCUUCGAUGAAGAAAGUUACAGAGCUGGCCCUGUGACUGAAGGGUGUGUCUCAAAUAUUUUCACUGCUGACAGGUACUUGAAACUGAGACCCCAUUACCAAGAAAACACAGGAGCUUCUCCUUGUGUUCCUGGCUGACUCUGGUCUACCAGACAUCUAAGAGAGACUAGAGCUUCUCUCUCAGACCUGAGUGACUAGGAAAUACACUCUUGACCACCAAAGGAACCUCAUGGAACGCUAGACUGAAAUCACAUGACAGAAGAAUAAAAACCUCACCCUGGACCCAAGGCCAUCUAUUUUCAAGCUGCUCACCAGAAAGAUGACUGUCCUCCACAUCCACACCUGUGCAGCUUAUCGUGAGUUUAAGUAGAGAACAGCCCCACCUGUCAGAAGAACCCUCUGGUUGCUGUCAAGCCUCAACAAGUCCUCAGAGAUAAGGAUUUUUCUAGAGUUCACUGAAGAUUUGGAGACUGACUAGGAGUGUCUAGACCCUCCUCCUCUAGAAAAGAUUCAGCUAAAGAUAUGAACAUCCUAACCUGUGGAGAAGAGUUAGAAGGCAAGGCAAUGCUGGCACCUUAUGAGAUUCUCUACAGAAACAGAGCAGUUCCAUCUUUGUUGCCCAUGCCUGUGCUGCUGAUGAAAGGCUUGUGGAGGAUGCAGAGCCAGGGAUUACCAACCAACCUAUAAGAAAAAUGCUCUGAGUGCUGGCAAGCAAGGCUCAGAGUCCAGAACACAAGGGUGUUCUGGAGUAUGAGGACGUUUGGACUUGAUAAGAUAUGUUCAGCUCAACACACCUUGAGGAAACACCAAUGCUUGCAUAACCACUUACCCUGUUGGAAAACUGUUAUGAGAUUUGCCUUAGACUCUCAAAGAUUUCACACAGGAUCAAUACAACCUCGAGGAAGCAUCAAAGUCCAGACAAUCACACAUCCUUUUGGAAGAGCGUUGUAAUUGCUUCUUGUACUCUUCCCAACAGUCAGUGUAAUAUAUGGAUAAUGGAAGGUGAAAAGAGCAGUUGGAAACACAUGAUGUAAAACCACACCAUUCUCCCACCACCCAAGACACUAAAGUGAAGAGGUCGCGUUCUUCAUGUACACACCAAUAUAGCUGGUGAUAAGAGGACUUAGAGACUGAGAUUGCCAAUCAUGACUGAUAAUAAUGCUCAGAUUGCUGCCAGGCCUGCCACAGUGUGCCUGGAGAUGUGAAUCUUCUACACUGUGAUGGAGUCCUUCCUCCACUGCACAAGCCCGCAAAAGAUAUGGAUACCCGACCUUCCACAUGACCCACAAAAGAUAUGGAUAUUCUAAAUACUGAAAAAAAAGUUGGAAGCUGACAGGGCAGUUCCAGGCAUUCCUCUGCUCCACAAGACCUGGGCAGCUGAACACACUCUUGAGAAGGAGAACUAGCUUGAGACUAUCGCGCAGACUUUUGGACAAAAUCUCAGACUGCUGCCUGCCCUGCCACAUGUUCACUACGGUGGACAGAUGUUUGAGUCUCCAAAGAAGAGCUGGAAGCUGAUAAGGCAGUACCUGGAAUGUGCUCCACUGCUUGAGAUUUGAGGUCUCACAGCUCAACACUAGUAAGGAGACCCUGGAACAGUAGUCAUCAAUCUUCAUGGCAUUCAACAGAACAUCAGAAAUGGAGUGGUCCCAACUUUAGUGCCCAGACCUGGAUGGCUGAACACCAACCUGUGAGGCUGGAAAAGCCACAGACACCAGCCACACUCUUGGAACAAUGUUUAGAUUACUGCAUAUCCUCCUGAAGAUGCCACAGAUGAUAUGGUUACUUUGUUGUUGUUGUUUUGAUUGCUCUUGUUCUCUUCUUGGUGGUGUUGCUUUCUUUUAACUUUAGAAGAGGGACAUCUUGAUAUUUUCUUGUUAAGUUAAUCAUCUACUGGCAUUAAAAUCCAGAAACCAAGUGCUUAAACGCUACCCAUGUUCUACUCUAUUUGGGAAUCACAAUGUGUGCAUAUCUUCCAACCUUUUGUUUCAAAGACAUACUGCUAUGUAAUUCUAUUUUACAAAUGUAAUCAUUUUAAUCAAUAUUCACAUGAAUAUAUAUUUUAUGUGCAAAA
Molecule: long non-coding RNA, 3052 nt
Organism: Peromyscus eremicus (cactus mouse)
Lineage: Eukaryota; Metazoa; Chordata; Mammalia; Rodentia; Cricetidae
Exons: 9
Source: RefSeq, a predicted model, not a curated record